RNAcentral lists this long non-coding RNA (685 nucleotides) under Homo sapiens (human). RNAcentral's name for it is "HSALNT0237429". Lineage: Eukaryota; Metazoa; Chordata; Mammalia; Primates; Hominidae. The record is from RNAcentral.
UCAGACAUUCUGGUCCUCACGGGCCAAGCUGGCCAGAGCUCCAAUCCCUUAUCACAGUGACCAAACUACAUAGAGAAAAAGAGGCAUGAAAACAAGGACUCUUACAAGACUUGCCAAAUGUUAGGCUGAACAAGUGAAAUAGCCAUUUUUAUGGGUUACAAAACAGUUAGACAUCAGUAACGGCAUUGAGUUCCACCUAAUUUGAACCAACGGGAAAGGUCAAUACUUAAUUGGAUUAAAAGAAGAAACACCUGGAGAUAAAAUAGCUAACAGAGGAAACAACAACAGCAAAAACACUUUCAAUAAGUAAAAUUAAUAUCAGAGAGGAUCAAGAGGUUAUUACACUCCUAGAAAAGAGGCUAACUGACACUAACAGAUGACUUGUCUUUUGCCAGGCACAGUGCAAUAAAACUUAUAUAUAACAUCCCAUUUAAUCAUCAUAACAAUUCUAAGAAGUGGGAACUCUCUUGUCCCAUUUUACAUGUGAGGGAAGUGAAGCAUGUCUUUGGGUAGCCAACACACCGCCAUUCUUAGUCCGUGUGUUUUGGGAAACGUGGAUCCUGCCUGACCAGAAGGGUGGAAAAGGAACACGUGUAGCAUGUGUGUCAGAGACCGACAUGCUAUGGCCUCCGAAGAAAAAUUGAUACACAAAUAAACUGGUCUUUUGCCUAGACUGUGUAAACCA